UACGUAGGUGGCAAGCGUUGUCCGGAUUUACUGGGCGUAAAGAGCGCGCAGGCGGUCGUUCAAGUCGCGUGUGAAAGCCCCCGGCUCAACUGGGGAGGGUCACGCGAUACUGAUCGACUCGAAGGCAGGAGAGGGUAGUGGAAUUCCCGGUGUAGUGGUGAAAUGCGUAGAUAUCGGGAGGAAUACCAGUGGCGAAGGCGCUGACCUGGACGAAGAUUGACGCUGAGGUGCGAAAGCGUGGGGAGCAAACAGG
Molecule: ribosomal RNA, 253 nt
Filed under: uncultured bacterium
Lineage: Bacteria
Description: partial 16S ribosomal RNA
Rfam family: Bacterial small subunit ribosomal RNA
Source: RNAcentral